Molecule: unclassified non-coding RNA, 241 nt
Filed under: Hevea brasiliensis (rubber tree)
Lineage: Eukaryota; Viridiplantae; Streptophyta; Magnoliopsida; Malpighiales; Euphorbiaceae
Source: RNAcentral
GGAAGACUGGUGGUUCACAUUGUUCAUCCAUAAUAUUCCACUUUAGUAUAUUAUUAUACUGGCACACUUAUGGGUUAUGGGGUAUGAAUUCUGUCCCCCCUCACAUACUUUGGCAGAUCACUGAAAUAUUUAUCACUGAAAUUAUCGUAUUAAUAUCUCACUGAUAAUUUAUGUGAUUCAAUUAUAUUCAAAUAUUUUUUUUUUUGCUUUACUUUACCCAUUAGAGCAUAUGAAAUUUCUG